Molecule: non-coding RNA, 730 nt
Organism: Lolium perenne
Lineage: Eukaryota; Viridiplantae; Streptophyta; Magnoliopsida; Poales; Poaceae
Source: RefSeq, a predicted model, not a curated record
UCAUCAUCUACCAUACGGGGUUGUGAUAGCUUAACAGGUGUCCUCUAUCUUCCCCCAUCGCUGGUCCGCCUCUACAUCAAUGAUUGCAAAACCCUGUCAUCCCUACCGAAUGGACCACAAGCAUACUCAUCUCUGCAAAGACUUUUCAUAAAGGAGUGUCCUAGUCUAAAGAGGCUCCCUACAUGCCUGCAGCAACGUCUAAGCAGCAUCCCGGACAAAUAUCUAGAUGCCCGUUUCCAAGAUCCCAGUCUAUUCAAUCCCCUGUCAUGGAGGAACGCCAUCCGCAGAGCUUAGUGAGCUGUCAAUAUGCACAACACCAUCACCAUGGGUCAUGGGAAGCUACCAAGCCGCAAGCAGGAGACCUGACUGGGCCAUGGAUCACUGUCUAUUCCCAGCUUUCUUCUUCUGGCGUCAAUUGUGAGGCCGGGCGGCUCCUUGGCGGAACUGUUUCUGCCAUCCGUAUGUACAACCUAUCUAGAGUAAUACUACCGCUUCUUGUCCUCCUGCUUUCAUUCACCAACACACAUGCCAAGAAUCGUGUUACACUUUAUUUCUUGUUCCAAACUACGUGGCUAGUUCUAGUGUUUUAUCUCCUUCAGUAUGUAUAGAACCAGAACACUUCCUUUUUGUGUGAUAUGUAUGGAUAUUCUCUAUGUAAUAAUGUAGCUGUAUCUUGAAACUUUGUAAUCCAGGAUUUACCUCCAGCUAAGCUUGUUUUCAGCUGCUUUCA